GACUUCCGUCUGCUACCUCUUACCCGUCUUUUGAGUACCUUCGUUUCCUCGGCGGGUCCGCCCGCCGAUUGGACAACAUUCAAACCCUUUGCAGUUGCAAUCAGCGUCUGAAAAAACAUAAUAAUUACAACUUUCAACAACGGAUCUCUUGGUUCUGGCAUCGAUGAAGAACGCAGCGAAAUGCGAUAAGUAGUGUGAAUUGCAGAAUUCAGUGAAUCAUCAAAUCUUUGAACGCACAUUGCGCCCCUUGGUAUUCCAUGGGGCAUGCCUGUUCGAGCGUCAUUUGUACCUUCAAGCUCUGCUUGGUGUUGGGUGUUUGGUUUCCCCCCGGGGGGAAAAUCCCCUUAAAAACAUUGGCAACCGGCUUAUGGAUUUCGAACGGCACAACUCCUGGCCUUUGGACCCAUUAGGAACAACUCCCAAAAGAACUUUUUCACAUCCUUAACCCGAAAAAGGGUGGGAAUCCCCGCUAACUUUAGGCUAUCAAUUACCGGAAGAAACCCGCCAGCGCUCCGGGGGCGCGAAGGACUCACACUACAAAACCGAACCCUCGCUUUGUGAAGACUUGAGUUACAACUCACCUGGUCAGCGGGGCUUGCUUGAAUUUAAGGUAUCAGAUCGAGAACCCUCUCUAACC
RNAcentral lists this small RNA (637 nucleotides) under Epicoccum sp. 1707 FeLB. RNAcentral's name for it is "eukaryotic LSU rRNA". The stretch from base 129 to 282 matches the Rfam family "5.8S ribosomal RNA". Lineage: Eukaryota; Fungi; Ascomycota; Dothideomycetes; Pleosporales; Didymellaceae. The record is from RNAcentral.